Molecule: ribosomal RNA, 116 nt
Filed under: Gossypium arboreum
Lineage: Eukaryota; Viridiplantae; Streptophyta; Magnoliopsida; Malvales; Malvaceae
Source: RNAcentral
GGCAAUCAUACAAGCACUAAUGCACCCGAUCCCAUCAGAACUCCGUAGUUAAGCGUGCUCCAGCUAGAGUUGUACUAGGACGGGUGACUUCUUGGGAAGUCCUCGUGUUGAAGCCC